UACGUAGGGUGCAAGCGUUGUCCGGAAUUAUUGGGCGUAAAGAGCUCGUAGGCGGUCUGUCGCGUCUGCUGUGAAAACUCGGGGCUUAACCCCGGGCCUGCAGUGGGUACGGGCAGACUAGAGUGCGGUAGGGGAGAGUGGAAUUCCUGGUGUAGCGGUGAAAUGCGCAGAUAUCAGGAGGAACACCGGUGGCGAAGGCGGGUCUCUGGACAGUUCCUGACGCUGAGGCACGAAGGUCAGGGGAGCAAACGGG
RNAcentral lists this ribosomal RNA (253 nucleotides) under uncultured bacterium. RNAcentral's name for it is "partial 16S ribosomal RNA". It matches the Rfam family "Bacterial small subunit ribosomal RNA", at positions 524 to 776 of the family's 1533-position model. The record is from RNAcentral.